UUCGAUUCUGGCUCAGGAUGAACGCUAGCGACAGGCUUAACACAUGCAAGUCGAGGGGCAUCACGGGAGUAGCAAUACAACUGGUGGCGACCGGCGCACGGGUGAGUAACGCGUAUGCAACCUACCUAUCAGAGGGGAAUAACCCGGCGAAAGUCGGACUAAUACCGCAUAAAACAGGGGCACCGCAUGGUGAUAUUUGUUAAAGAAAUUCGCUGAUAGAUGGGCAUGCGUUCCAUUAGGUAGUUGGUGAGGUAACGGCUCACCAAGCCGACGAUGGAUAGGGGAACUGAGAGGUUGGUCCCCCACACUGGUACUGAGACACGGACCAGACUCCUACGGGAGGCAGCAGUGAGGAAUAUUGGUCAAUGGGCGGGAGCCUGAACCAGCCAAGUCGCGUGAAGGAAAAGAAGGAUCUAUGGUUCGUAAACUUCUUUUGCAGGGGAAUAAAGUGCAGGACGUGUCCUGUUUUGUAUGUACCCUGAGAAUAAGGAUCGGCUAACUCCGUGCCAGCAGCAGC
This 517-nucleotide ribosomal RNA is filed under the name uncultured bacterium. RNAcentral's name for it is "bacterial SSU rRNA". It matches the Rfam family "Bacterial small subunit ribosomal RNA", at positions 12 to 518 of the family's 1533-position model. The record is from RNAcentral.